UAAUUAGGGGAAUUUAAGUCACCUGUGAGCACCUCCUUAAAAACACAGAAGGCACACACAAAAUGGAAAUGCAGUGUUUACAGGACAGAUAAUAAAUCUAUGAUCAUGGCUUCAGACACAGUUACAGACCUGACCCUGCAGACUGAUGAGGGUAUUUCACCGACCAAACAGGACCUGCAGGAUGUCGAGGACAGACUGGGCACCCUGUCUGAUAAGAUGACCCUGUGCAACAAAGUCCUGAAUGACUUGAAGAUUCUGAGUGAUAUUCUAGUGAGAAAAUCUCUCGAGGAUGUGUCCUUACCGCCGCAGGAGUGACCAGAAGUGGAACAGUAUCCCCCUUCCACCUCCCAUUUUCUUUUUAUUUUAUGACUAAAUAAAUCCAACUGUUAAUUUGAA
Sebastes umbrosus (honeycomb rockfish) is the source of this 396-nucleotide long non-coding RNA. RefSeq lists it as uncharacterized. The record is from RefSeq and is a predicted model, not a curated record. The transcript has 4 exons. NCBI's taxonomy places the organism in Eukaryota, Metazoa, Chordata, Actinopteri, Perciformes, Sebastidae.